AUUGAACGCUGGCGGCAUGCCUUACACAUGCAAGUCGAACGGCAGCACGGGAGCAAUCCUGGUGGCGAGUGGCGAACGGGUGAGUAAAGUAUCGGAACGUGCCCAGUCGUGGGGGAUAACGUAGCGAAAGUUACGCUAAUACCGCAUACGAUCUAUGGAUGAAAGCGGGGGAUCGCAAGCCCUCGCGCGAUUGGAGCGGCCGAUAUCAGAUUAGGUAGUUGGUGGGGUAAAGGCUCACCAAGCCGACGAUCUGUAGCUGGUCUGAGAGGACGACCAGCCACACUGGGACUGAGACACGGCCCAGACUCCUACGGGAGGCAGCAGUGGGGAAUUUUGGACAAUGGGCGAAAGCCUGAUCCAGCCAUGCCGCGUGCAGGAUGAAGGCCUUCGGGUUGUAAACUGCUUUUGUACGGAACGAAAAGGUUUGGCCUAAUAAGCUGAGCUCGUGACGGUACCGUAAGAAUAAGCACCGGCUAACUACGUGCCAGCCGCCGCAGUAA
RNAcentral lists this ribosomal RNA (500 nucleotides) under uncultured bacterium. RNAcentral describes it as "partial 16S ribosomal RNA". It matches the Rfam family "Bacterial small subunit ribosomal RNA", at positions 30 to 523 of the family's 1533-position model. The record is from RNAcentral.